This 82-nucleotide transfer RNA is filed under the name Candidatus Giovannonibacteria bacterium RIFCSPHIGHO2_01_FULL_45_24. Its description in RNAcentral is "tRNA-Leu". It matches the Rfam family "tRNA". Rfam says of the family: Transfer RNA (tRNA) molecules are approximately 80 nucleotides in length. Their secondary structure includes four short double-helical elements and three loops (D, anti-codon, and T loops). The record is from RNAcentral. Lineage: Bacteria; Candidatus Giovannoniibacteriota. RNAcentral also lists the same sequence under 1 other name.
GCCUCCGUGGCGGAAUUGGCAUACGCGUCCCGUUUAGAGCGGGAUCCCGAAAGGGUUAGAGGUUCAAAUCCUCUCGGAGGCA